RNAcentral lists this ribosomal RNA (460 nucleotides) under uncultured bacterium. RNAcentral describes it as "partial 16S ribosomal RNA". It matches the Rfam family "Bacterial small subunit ribosomal RNA", at positions 338 to 795 of the family's 1533-position model. The record is from RNAcentral.
CCUACGGGUGGCAGCAGUGAGGAAUAUUGGUCAAUGGACGAGAGCCUGAACCAGCGAAGCAGCGUGAAGGAUGACUGCUCUAGGGGUUGUAAACUUCUUUUAUAUGGGAAUAAAAUGUUCCACGUGUGGGAUUUUGUAUGUACCAUAUGAAUAAGGAUCGGCGAACUCCGUGCCAGCAGCCGCGGUAAUACGGAGGAUCCGAGCGUUAUCCGGAUUUAUUGGGUUUAAAGGGAGCGUAGGUGGAUUGUUAAGUCAGUUGUGAAAGUUUGCGGCUCAACCGUAGAAUUGCAGUUGAAACUGGCAGUCUUGAGUACAGGAGAGGUAGGCGGAAUUCGUGGUGUAGCGGUGAAAUGCUUAGAUAUCACGAAGAACUCCGAUUGCGAAGGCAGCUCACUGGACUGCAACUGACACUGAGGCUCGAAAGUGUGGGUAUCAAACAGGAUUAGAUACCCUUGUAGUC